GCGAAGAACCUUACCAAAUCUUGACAUCCUUUGACAACUCUAGAGAUAGAGUCUUCCCCUUCGGGGGACAAAGUGACAGGUGGUGCAUGGUUGUCGUCAGCUCGUGUCGUGAGAUGUUGGGUUAAGUCCCGCAACGAGCGCAACCCUUAAGCUUAGUUGCCAGCAUUAAGUUGGGCACUCUAAGUUGACUGCCGGCGACAAACCGGAGGAAGGUGGGGAUGACGUCAAAUCAUCAUGCCCCUUAUGAUUUGGGCUACACACGUGCUACAAUGGACAAUACAAAGGGCAGCUAAACCGCGAGGUCAUGCAAAUCCCAUAAAGUUGUUCUCAGUUCGGAUUGUAGUCUGCAACUCGACUACAUGAAGCUGGAAUCGCUAGUAAUCGUAGAUCAGCAUGCUACGGUGAAUACGUUCCCGGGUCUUGUACACACCGCCCGUCACACCACGAGAGUCUGUAACACCCGAAGCCGGUGGAGUAACCAUUUAUGGAGCUAGCCGUCGAAGGUGGGACAAAUGAUUGGGGUGAAGUCGUAACAAGGUAGCCGUAUCGGAAGGU
RNAcentral lists this ribosomal RNA (555 nucleotides) under uncultured bacterium. RNAcentral describes it as "bacterial SSU rRNA". It matches the Rfam family "Bacterial small subunit ribosomal RNA", at positions 961 to 1513 of the family's 1533-position model. The record is from RNAcentral.